Molecule: ribosomal RNA, 460 nt
Filed under: uncultured bacterium
Lineage: Bacteria
Description: partial 16S ribosomal RNA
Rfam family: Bacterial small subunit ribosomal RNA
Source: RNAcentral
CCUACGGGAGACAGCAGUGAGGAAUAUUGGUCAAUGGGCGAGAGCCUGAACCAGCCAAGUCGCGUGAAAGAUGACGGCCCUACGGGUUGUAAACUUCUUUUGUCAGGGAGCAAUUGAGUCCACGUGUGGGCUUAGCGAGAGUACCUGAAGUAAAAGCAUCGGCUAACUCCGUGCCAGCAGCCGCGGUAAUACGGAGGAUGCGAUCGUUAUCCGGAUUUAUUGGGUUAAAAGGGUGCGUAGGCGGAAUAUCAAGUCAGUGGUAAAAAUUCGGGGCUCAACCCCGUCGUGCCGUUGAAACUGAUGUUCUUGAGUGGGCGAGAGGUAUGUGGAAUGCGUGGUGUAGGGGUGAAAUGCAUAGAGAUCACGAAGAAUUCCGAUUGCGAAGGCAGCAUACCGGCGCACAACUGACGCUGAAGCACGAAAGCGUGGGUAUCGAACAGGAUUAGAUACCCGUGUAGUC